GGUUGUGGCUCAGUGGUAGAGCACUCGCCUAGCAUGUGUGAGGCCCUGGGUUCAAUCCUCAGCACCA
Molecule: transfer RNA, 67 nt
Filed under: Marmota monax (woodchuck)
Lineage: Eukaryota; Metazoa; Chordata; Mammalia; Rodentia; Sciuridae
Description: tRNA.Ala
Rfam family: tRNA
About the family: Transfer RNA (tRNA) molecules are approximately 80 nucleotides in length. Their secondary structure includes four short double-helical elements and three loops (D, anti-codon, and T loops).
Source: RNAcentral